AAAGGAAUUGACGGGGGCCCGCACAAGCGGCGGAGCAUGUUGCUUAAUUCGACGCAACGCGAAGAACCUUACCAAGGUUUGACAUCACCCGUGGACCUGCAGAGAUGUGGGGUCAUUUGGUUGGUGGGUGACAGGUGGUGCAUGGCUGUCGUCAGCUCGUGUCGUGAGAUGUUGGGUUAAGUCCCGUAACGAGCGCAACCCUUGUUCCAUGUUGCCAGCACGUGAUGGUGGGGACUCAUGGGAGACUGCCGGGGUCAACUCGGAGGAAGGUGGGGACGACGUCAAGUCAUCAUGCCCCUUAUGUCUUGGGCUGCAAACAUGCUACAAUGGCCGGUACAACGGGUGGGCGAAGCCGUGAGGUGGAGCGAAUCCCCUAAAGCCGGUCUCAGUUCGGAUUGGGGUCUGCAACUCGACCCCAUGAAGGUGGAGUCGCUAGUAAUCGCGGAUCAGCAACGCCGCGGUGAAUACGUUCCCGGGCCUUGUACACACCGCCCGU
This 496-nucleotide ribosomal RNA is filed under the name uncultured bacterium. RNAcentral describes it as "bacterial SSU rRNA". It matches the Rfam family "Bacterial small subunit ribosomal RNA", at positions 903 to 1397 of the family's 1533-position model. The record is from RNAcentral.